This 226-nucleotide unclassified non-coding RNA is filed under the name uncultured fungus. RNAcentral's name for it is "sequence contains ITS1, 5.8S rRNA gene". The stretch from base 178 to 226 matches the Rfam family "5.8S ribosomal RNA", at positions 1 to 49 of the family's 154-position model. The record is from RNAcentral. Lineage: Eukaryota; Fungi.
UCUCCGUAUGUGAACCUGCGGAGGGAUCAUUACUGAUUGAGGGCUUCGGUCCGACCUCCAACCCUUUGUGAACCAAACUUGUUGCUUCGGGGGCGACCCUGCCGCUUCGGCGGUGCGGCGCCCCCGGAGGCCAUUAAACACUGCAUCAUUGCGUCGGAGUUAAAGUAAAUUAAACAAAACUUUCAACAACGGAUCUCUUGAUUCCAGCAUCGAUGAAGAACGCAGC